Molecule: long non-coding RNA, 967 nt
Organism: Solanum dulcamara
Lineage: Eukaryota; Viridiplantae; Streptophyta; Magnoliopsida; Solanales; Solanaceae
Exons: 3
Source: RefSeq, a predicted model, not a curated record
UGAGGCGUUCAUACAGACCAAGUACACAUUUGCCUUCGUUACCCCCCUGUCCCUGCCGCCUCCAAUCCCUUCGCAUAUAGCCGCUUUUCAUUUUCCCUUUUCUACUUCCUCCACAGUUCCUUCCAAAGGUCUCGACUUUAUCCUACUUGGGCCUUAUUUUUUUACCUAUUAAGGGCCCCAAGUUGGCUCACUGCUCACUGACGAUUUCACGGCUGAAGCUCAGAACUCAGAACUAAAGCUCACGAUUUCUCAUUCUUUGCACCUGAAGUCAGAACUCAGAUGCUCACAAGUCACAAUUUCACUCUUAAAAAUCAGAACUCUACUCAGGCCUUCACGAUUUCUCAUUAUCUGCGACGGGAAAAUUGGUUUUUGGUAGUGGUGUACAUGAUACAAAGUUAGCAGCUGAGUUUUUGCCAUCUCAAGCCAACCUAUGAGCCGUGGUACUUUCCACGAGCCGUUGGUGGAACUUGUAGGUGAGGUGUCUUUGGUAGUGAAGUUGAGUUUAAGUUACGAGUGGAUUAUACAAGCCAUAGGUACUCAUAUGAGCCGUAGAUGGACGAUCGUAGAUGAUUAUAGGAGGGUGAAAGAUUUGGACUCAGACUACCGUUGAAUAGGACAAACCGUACAUUGUUCUACAGACCAUAAGACUGGUUUGUAGAAGAAAUCCUGAAAAUUGACUGAAGAUUUCUAUCCAAGAGCUGUACAAGGACCUAUGGUCCGUAGGUCACGAGUCGUAGUAUGCCGCCUAAUCCUACUUUUCCUAGAUUUGUUUUAUUUAGGAUUUGAUGUGUAUAAAUAUUCAUCAUAGGUUUUAUCUCCAGGGUGAUAUUCAUUUUGGACUUUGAGAAUUAAGCAUGAACUACUUGUGCUUUAAUUCUUGAAUUCGUGGGAUUUUAGUUAUACAUUUGAUCUUUGAUUUUGGUUUUGCAAUUCAAUUCAAGCUUCUGGAUUUCAAUACUAGUAUUGU